This 492-nucleotide ribosomal RNA is filed under the name uncultured bacterium. RNAcentral describes it as "partial 16S ribosomal RNA". It matches the Rfam family "Bacterial small subunit ribosomal RNA", at positions 29 to 507 of the family's 1533-position model. The record is from RNAcentral.
AGUGAACGCUGGCGGUAGGCCUAACACAUGCAAGUCGAACGGCAGCACAGUAAGAGCUUGCUCUUACGGGUGGCGAGUGGCGGACGGGUGAGGAAUACAUCGGAAUCUACUUUUUCGUGGGGGAUAACGUAGGGAAACUUACGCUAAUACCGCAUACGACCUACGGGUGAAAGCAGGGGAUCCUCGGACCUUGCGCGAUUGAAUGAGCCGAUGUCGGAUUAGCUAGUUGGCGGGGUAAAGGCCCACCAUGGCGACGAUCCGCAGCUGGUCUGAGAGGAUGAUCGGCCACACUGGAACUGAGACACGGUCCAGACUCCUACGGGAGGCAGCAGUGGGGAAUAUUGGACAAUGGGCGCAAGCCUGAUCCAGCCAUACCGCGUGGGUGAAGAAGGCCUUCGGGUUGUAAAGCCCUUUUGUUGGGAAAGAAAAGCAGCAGGUUAAUACCCCGCUGUUCUGACGGUACCCAAAGAAUAAGCACCGGCUAACUUCGUG